Molecule: non-coding RNA, 2659 nt
Organism: Cajanus cajan (pigeon pea)
Lineage: Eukaryota; Viridiplantae; Streptophyta; Magnoliopsida; Fabales; Fabaceae
Source: RefSeq, a predicted model, not a curated record
GAUGGAAAAUAGAAACAAGAUGGAGAAAGAAGGAAGAAGAGAGUAGAGAAGGUGACCAAAAUUGAUAUUCCUUUGAAGAAAAGAGAGAGAAAAUAGUUAAGAGGAAAUCCGUUCUAAAAGCAUGGUGUGUUAAGAAAAGCAGAGCGCGGGUAGCGAAGACGCUCUCGUGGAGCGCGUGAAAGCAGGUGAGAGUGGGAUUGGCAUAGGAAGAAGAAGAAGAAGAAGGAGAAGGAAGUGAACCAAAAUUAUUCUUUGCUCCUUUACUACUCCUUCCUUCCCUUCCCUCUCUUCUCUUCUCUUCUCAAUUCUCAUUCUCUCUCUCUCUCUCUUCUGCAACCAUUUAAGGUUUGGGACUAAUUGCUACUGUUUUUUAAUUCCAUUUUCCCUUUCUCCUUGCGUUUCUUGCUGCUUUGUCGUUCUCCCAAUGUGCGUGCUUCCUCAAUUGGAGCUCCGCGAACCUCCAAUUAGGGUUCUUGCUGUUGCUAUACUGUCGCCGAUUGGGUUUCGGGAUGUGUAUCCGCGAGUGGAUUGAGGAGAAUGGAUAUUUUUUGGUCUGUUGAUUGCCGUUGGAUUGUUGUUGGUUGAGGGUGUGAUUAGUGCAAUCUGAUUUUGAGUGAAGAUGGUUUUGUGACGUGGUUGAGUGAGUGUUUUUUUGUAGGAGAAGGUUUGUUACUGUUGUUGUUGUUGUUGUGUUGGUUUGUUUUGUUGAAGAGUUUGGAACGUGGUCGGCGGACAAGAAGAACUGAAUUUUUGUUGGAUGGGUAAUAAACUUGGGAGGAGGAGACAAGUGGUGGAUGAGAAAUAUACGAGGCCGCAAGGGUUGUAUAAUCAUAAAGAUGUGGAUCAUAAGAAACUGAGGAAGCUGAUACUUGAAUCGAAGCUUGCACCUUGUUAUCCUGGAGAUGAAGAAACCGCCUUGGAUCGCGAAGAGUGCCCAAUUUGCUUUCUGUAUUAUCCAAGUCUAAACCGAUCAAGAUGUUGCACAAAGAGCAUUUGUACAGAGUGCUUUUUGCAGAUGAAAGUUCCAAAUUCAACUCGGCCUACACAAUGUCCCUUCUGCAAAACAGCAAAUUAUGCUGUGGAGUAUCGUGGUGUGAAAUCAAAAGAAGAGAAGGGGUUGGAACAGAUUGAAGAGCAACGUGUUAUAGAGGCAAAAAUUAGGAUGCGGCAGCAGGAGCUUCAGGAUGAAGAGGAAAGAAUGCACAAAAGACUAGAAAUGAGCUCUUCAAAUGUGAAUGUGGCAGUUGCAGAUGUUGAAUACAGUUCAAAUGCGGUGUCUGCAUCUUCAAUCUCUGUUGUUGAACAUGAUGAAAUUGUUUCUUCUCAAGACUCAUGUGCCACAUCAGCGGUUAGACCAAAUGCAACCACUCGGACCAAUAGAGAUGAUGAAUUUGAUGUUGACCUUGAGGACAUUAUGGUCAUGGAAGCUAUUUGGCUUUCCAUUCAGGAGAAUGGCAGGCAGAGAAAUUUAUCUUUUGCUGAUGCUACUUCUGGACACUACGUAGCUGAUGGUCGCUAUGUUUCAUCUGUCACGGCUCCGGCUCCGGCUCCGGCUCCGGCUCCACCAACGGGAUCAUCCUCAUCUCCAUCUGGGGGUCUUGCUUGUGCCAUCGCAGCUCUUGCUGAGCGGCAGCAAAUGGCUGGAGAAUCAUCUAUGAACUUCACCAAUGAAAAUAUGUCAUCAUUCAACGCUCUACAGGGUUCCAGAAGGUUUUAUAACAGACUAGGUAGGGAUAUGAUUAGUUAUCCACCUACUGACAACCUCAAUGAGGAGCCACCAGAUGAUGCUGUGGCGAUAACUAGGAGCCAUGGGGAAUGGGAUACAGACCAUGGGACACAUUUGACUGAAACAGCAACUGGCUACACAAACUCAGUUGCAGCAGAAGAUCAUGGUGAACUAUCUUCUUUGCCAGAGUCUGAUCACAUUGAUGGAAACCUUCAAACUGCCACGGAACCUAUUAUUCCUGAGAGCUUUGAGGAGCAGAUGAUGCUUGCUAUGGCCGUCUCUUUGGCUGAAGCCCGAGCCAUGUCAACUGGACAGAGUGCUUCUUGGCAGUAGUUUUUGGUUUAGGUGCUGGUUUAAUCUUUCUUAAAUUGGUGAUGCUUGCCUUGGCUAUCUGGUAAGCCGAGUCCAAGGUUUGAGAAUUUGAGGAAAGUUCACUGGUGUGCAAUUUGUUCAAAAGGAUAAGUAACAAAGUGCACUCUACUGAAGUUAGUGCGUUGGGUAAAUGGGUGGAUUUGGCAGAUUUUUUGGACCUAGGAAGGGAUAGGAUUCAAAACGAGGAUUCUCAACGAAGCCCCCGCACCCGUCCUCCUCUCAUUCUUUUAUUUGCUUCACACGCGUAGGUGAAAUGCAAAGGCAGCCUUAAUUCUCGUUAAACUGUUUUAUGGCAAGCUGUAUAGCUUCCCUGUGAAGAAGUGUUCUAUCAUGUGAAGUUUUGUUCAUGAUAAUUGUGGGUGAACUUCAUUAUAUUUUGAGAAUGUUAUUUACACAGAUGAUACCUCACACACUUUUUUUUUAUCUCAUUAUCUUGCACAUACCCAUUUUUCUUUUCUGAGGUCUGUAUUUUACCUUUAUCUGUACAUGUAUAUUUUCUCAUUUGUUAUUUUCCGUGGGUGACAUUGAAAAAUAUAUGGAAGGUGAUGUACUUGUGUUAUU